UUCCAUGGAAUUUUAUCAUAAGAUUUAGGGCUAUAGUCAAAUCGAGGGUCCUUUUGCCUUUCUCCGCUACCAUCAUAAGAAUCAUCUUCAUCAUCAGCAAGACGACUGUAGGGAAUGUUUCUUCGAGAUGCCAUAAAGAUCAAUGUAAAUGCUGGUUAUAAAAGUGUCAAAUAACUCCAACUCCAAUUGAACUGUGGAGUUUCAAAAUCAAAGAGAAGACAGGUGAAGAAAAAUAAGUAGGCUAAAAAUAAAUUUUAUGAGAUUUAAGACAAUGAACUUGAAGCCGAAAAAAUUGCACACAGUUGAAUAACUAAUAAAAAUUAACACAUAAACCUUAAAUCUUAAAACAUUUCAACAACUUUCCCAAGAUAAUAAAUUUGUAGGUCUAAAUACUCAACUAUUUCAAACAUUUAAGAUCUAGAAAUUUCCAAGACAAACAAAGAAAACUACAUGGAAGUUUUAAACAUAAUUUUCAACAUGCAUGGAGAUAAACAUGGAAACUCGUGUGUGCAGAGAAAAAUAUGUUUAAAACAGAGAAGUACAGUGAAAUGACAAGACCUUGCUUUAAUUAAAUAGCAAUAUGAAACUACCCCAAACAUUUACAUGGAGACAAAGGUGAAAAUGUGAGAUCAAGACACCAGAUUAAGUGUGAGCGAGUCAUGAGACUGAGGGCAACCAAUCACUGUCCGAGCAAUUUUUAUUACACUAAUUUUCUUUGGGCGUAACAAUGGAGUAUAAUCAUUCAUGUAAUUAAGCUAUGUAUAUUUAAGUUACAUAUACCCAUGUAUGCUUAACAAGAGGACUUAGUGCUAAGGAUCUGCAGUUGAGCUAAUAGCAUGAGUUGAUAAUAUUUUGCUUUCUGUUUUAACUUACUGGAUUACCCAAAAUACAGAAACUGUUUCAAUUUACAAUAAAUUUUUAGAAAUUACCAUAGAUUCUCCUAGAAGAACUUUUUUCUGGCAAUUUUAUACAGAGUCAUUUCAUAAAAAGAAAAGAAGAGUAAAGAUUAAUUAAAAACCUGAGAAAGUAAUACUAAUAUUUUAACCUGUAUUCAACAUUGAGCUAUCAUCUAAUCUGUAUCCUACAUCUUUACUUUAGAUCUAUUUCUGUAUGCCGUAUGCCUUGUACACAAGAAGGCAAAAAAUUAGCGAAUGCGGCUUAUAAACUUCAAUAUCUAGGCAACAGAAAGAGUUUUGACACUAUGAAAAUGGCACAUGCUAAACUAGUAACAUGGUGCUGAAUGAGGUGGAACCUCAGACAGCAGGUGUUAGGAGAGUUAAAGAGUCGAAGCCAAUCCAAUAAGGACAACGGGUGUAAAAUGAGAAGGUUCAAGUGACUCCUAAGGCUAGAGUUUGUCCCAACUCCAUUGUAGAACAGGGCUAUCUUUCAAUCUGGCAAUCUUAGGCGGUUUUAGAAAUAUCCAUCCAAAAACAUGUCAGUUGUCACGCUGACCGAUUUUUAAUGCUUGAACGAUGAUAUGAAUAAGUUGAUAAAGCAAAAACUCCUUUCUAAAGAACAAAUAUUCUUAUCUGCCAUUCUAUUCUAUGUAUUGUCAAAGAUUUAAAAAAUGAAAUAGAUGGUGAAUGCCUAAUUGAAUUGAUCAGGUAUCAAAUCCAUAUUUUGGAACAAACCAUAACCUACUAACACUUUUACAUUAACUCAACAGAUUUUGAAAUAAUGUUACUGCCUGGAUCAUGGUUAUAAAUUUUCUCAUUUUCAUCCAACAUAUAAUAUUUAAUUACUUAAAAAAUCUGUUUUAAAUUGUCAAGUUGCAAAUAGUUAUUUAACAAUCUGAUUAUGAGUUAUUAAAUCAUUAAAUGGUAAAAUGAAUAAAAAUUUCCAAUUCUUUACACAUGAAGUUUGUCUUCCCUAUGAUAAAAAAGCUCUGAUAAACUACUCUCUAUAUCAGUUUAUUAGCGUUAUAUCUGUCUCUCCACAGUAUAAAAUAGAAAAUGAGGGGCUUGGUUGCAAUUUGGAUUUAGUGAAACACUAAGUAGCACUAUAUGGAACCCAUUUUCAUUUUAUACAAAGAAAACCCUAAACCAUCGACACAGAGAAGAAAAGAAGAAAAAAAUAAGUAAAGGGAGAGAAAAAGAAAGAAGGAAAAGAAAGGAAAACCUAGCGCCUCCGCCUUCCUCCACCCUCUCGACGGUAGCUCCAAGUUUAGAAAGAGCAGAAAAGAAGAAAAGGGAAAGAAAAAAAGAGACAAGAAGAACGAAGAAAACAAAAGAAGCAGAUUUCAAGAAAUGUCUGGUAGAAAUUUGAAGGAUCGACACAUCCCAAUACCCAUACACAUGUUGUGUCGUGUGGACACAGGUACUUCGUCCAUUUCGAAGAGUCUGAGUAUCAGAGAAACAAUCGAUCCCCUUCGUUUCGUGAACAGCAAGACCUAAGAUUGUCUUGCCGGUCAACUCCAAGGGAGGGGUAUUUGCAACCCAAUAACCAAAAAACUAUCCACUGAACCAGCAGUUCACACCUCAUCACAAGCAGGUUCCAUUUUUUAUUUUUUUUUAAAGCACUGUUUAUAAUAUAAUUAUCAGCCACAACCAAAUAUGCUCAAACCACCACCAUGCCGCCCAUUGUCACACACUCAGUCACUAACCCAAUGUUCCCCAAGUCCAACAAGCUAUAGAUUUACUGCAUAAAACUUAAGAACACACUAUCACCAGUCCACAAAUACUGUCCCUUCCCACAACCCCACACUGCGUUAACAAUCCCCAACAUUACGACCAUCACGAAACAAAAAUUCAUAAUUUCACUCCAUUGUAGAAUAAGGCUAUCUUUCAAUUUUCUCACUCUCUCUUAGAAAUAUCCAUCCAAAAACAUGUCAGUUGGUUUUAUGUUGACUGAUGUUUAAUGCUCAUGAUAUGAAGUAGUCGAUAAAGCAUAAACUCCUUUCUAAAGGACAAGUAUUGUUAUCUGCCAAUCUACUCUAUGUAUUGUCAAAAAUUUGAACAAUGAAAAUAGAUGGCAAGUGCCUGAUUGAAUUGAUCAGGUAUCAAAUCCAUAUUUUGGAACUAACAUUUUGACUUGAAUUUAAUUCAUUAGAUCUCAAAAUAAUGUUACUGCCUGGAUCAUGGUUAUUAUUAUUAUUAUUAUUUUUUUUCAUCCAUUAUAUAAUAUUUAAUUACUUAAAACACUGUGGCACAAUUAGUUCAAAUUCUUUCAGAAUUGAAUGCUUUAGAAUAUUCAAUUCUUGUAGCGGCCAUUGCUUUUUAAAAGUCUGUUUUAAAUUGUCAAGUUGGAAAGAGUUAUAUACCAAGAUAUGAUUAAUGAGUUAUUAAAUGGUAAAUGAAUAAAACUUUCCAAUUCUUUACACAUGAAGUUUGUCUUCCCCAUGAUAAAAAAGUUCUCACGAACUGCUCUCUAUAUCGGUUUGAUAGUGCUAUAUUAUCUUUCCACAGUAUAAAUUCACAAACUUCCCCAUCCCUGCCCCAAACAAUCCACCCCGCCUUCGUUCCGUAAACAGAAAGACCUAAGAUUGGCCAGCAAGUCAAGGCGAGAGGAGGGGGUAUUUAUGAAAGGGAGAGCUAGCACAACCCAAGAAAAACCACUGAACCUGCAGUACACACCUCAUCACAAGAAGGUUCUGACUUUUUCUAAAAAAAUAAAAAUUAAAAAAAAGUCACUGUUUAUCAUAUAACCAUCAGCCAUUUCCAAGUAUGCGCCAACCGCCACCGUGCCGCCUAUUGCCACACACUAACCAACCAACCCAAUGUUCCCCAAGUCCAACAAGCUAUAGUUUUACUGCAUAAAACUUAAGAACGCACCAUCACAGUCCACAAGUAACUUCCCUUCCCACUACCCCACGACUACGUUAACAAUCCCCAACAUUACGACCAUCGCGAAACAAAAAGUACACAAUUUGAUCACUAACAGGCAGACUGAAUAAUAAGUUUUCAGACUAUAAACAGAUAAGGUAACCCAACUAUAGCGAAGCCACAAAUCCUAUACAAUUUGCUUAAAAACGAAAUUAGUAAAAAAGAAAAUUAAAUCGUGAAAGCUAGCUCAAAAAUUAAAAUCCAGAACAAAUUACCACUAAAUUUCACCGGAAAUUCAGAACUCCAGAUCCUUCUACUACAUACGCAUAUUACUAUCCAU
This 4101-nucleotide long non-coding RNA is filed under the name Olea europaea (common olive). Its description in RNAcentral is "long non-coding RNA (OEUR_LNC002466)". Lineage: Eukaryota; Viridiplantae; Streptophyta; Magnoliopsida; Lamiales; Oleaceae. The record is from RNAcentral.